RNAcentral lists this unclassified non-coding RNA (250 nucleotides) under Hevea brasiliensis (rubber tree). Lineage: Eukaryota; Viridiplantae; Streptophyta; Magnoliopsida; Malpighiales; Euphorbiaceae. The record is from RNAcentral.
GUGGAGAACUUAUAUUCUACUUCAACAUCUGCAUGAAACUGUCGGCCGUCAUGUGAGCUUUGUUUGGAUCUUCCUUCCCAUUAUUCCAUUGUCUAUGUUGCUUGGACUCUUAAAAAAUAUCGAUGGUGCUCGUCAUAUUUCUCAAAGUUACUGCUUUUCUUUUUUGAUGAAUUCGUCAUGGAUUUGUCAAUAACUUAUGGUUACUGAUGAAGGAUUCUAUGAAAAUAACGUGUUACAUAUUAGCUGGUUU